GACGAACGCUGGCGGCGUGCUUAACACAUGCAAGUCGAACGCUGAAGCUUGGUGCUUGCACUGGGUGGAUGAGUGGCGAACGGGUGAGUAAUACGUGAGUAACCUGCCCUUGACUCUGGGAUAAGCCUGGGAAACUGGGUCUAAUACUGGAUACGACAUGCCACUGCAUGGUGGUGUGUGGAAAGGGUUUAAUUGGUUUUGGAUGGGCUCACGGCCUAUCAGCUUGUUGGUGGGGUAAUGGCCUACCAAGGCGACGAGGGGUAGCCGGCCUGAGAGGGGGGCCGGCCACACUGGGACUGAGACACGGCCCAGACUCCUACGGGAGGCAGCAGUGGGGAAUAUUGCACAAUGGGCGGAAGCCUGAUGCAGCGACGCGGCGUGAGGGAUGACGGCCUUCGGGUGGUAAACCUCUUUCAGAACGGAAGAAGCGCGAGUGACGGUACGUGCAGAAGAAGCGCCGGCUAACUACGUG
Molecule: ribosomal RNA, 472 nt
Filed under: uncultured bacterium
Lineage: Bacteria
Description: partial 16S ribosomal RNA
Rfam family: Bacterial small subunit ribosomal RNA
Source: RNAcentral